GAGGAAAGUCCGGGCUCCAUAGGGCAAGGUGCCAGGUAACGCCUGGGGGGUGUCACAGCCCACGACCAGUGCAACAGAGAGCAAACCGCCGAUGGCCCGCGCAAGCGGGAUCAGGUAAGGGUGAAAGGGUGCGGUAAGAGCGCACCGCGCGGCUGGUAACAGUCCGCGGCACGGUAAACUCCACCCGGAGCAAGGCCAAAUAGGGGUUCAUAAGGUACGGCCCGUACUGAACCCGGGUAGGCUGCUUGAGCCAGUGAGCGAUUGCUGGCCUAGAUGAAUGACUGUCCACGACAGAACC
This 298-nucleotide RNase P RNA is filed under the name Klebsiella pneumoniae UHKPC69. Its description in RNAcentral is "Bacterial RNase P class A". It matches the Rfam family "Bacterial RNase P class A", at positions 43 to 344 of the family's 367-position model. Rfam says of the family: Ribonuclease P (RNase P) is a ubiquitous endoribonuclease, found in archaea, bacteria and eukarya as well as chloroplasts and mitochondria. Its best characterised activity is the generation of mature 5'-ends of tRNAs by cleaving the 5'-leader elements of precursor-tRNAs. Cellular RNase Ps are ribonucleoproteins. The record is from RNAcentral. RNAcentral also lists the same sequence under 2 other names. Lineage: Bacteria; Pseudomonadati; Pseudomonadota; Gammaproteobacteria; Enterobacterales; Enterobacteriaceae.